GGAGAACUAUACUCCCAGCAUCCCACCCCAGUGUUUUGAACUGCAAGGACUUGCAGCCUAAUAAAUUCUGGAGAGCUGCACAAUCCCCAUCUCUGGGAUGGCAGUUCUAAUCAAAAGGAGUGAUUUUUUCCCCCUUUAAACUUGAAGCAGAUAACAAUGCCAUUACAUGGCAAGCCAUCUCCAAGAGUAGGAAGAUCUCAUUCGUAAAUUCCAUUAAUCACACAGUAACACUGAACCCUAUGAACCUCCCACCCAUUCUCACCCCACUGGAAGCAGUGAGCUGCUUUCAGCUGUGUCUCUUUGCCUCCGAUUGACACAAACCAAGCUCCAUAUGCUGGAAUGCUGGUUUGGCCAUUCUCUCUAUUCCUUUCCUGCAUAGCCCCCGGGCUGGUCCUUGUGGGUAGCGAACGAGGGCUGCGCAAAGGCCUGGGCCAGCUUGAAGCCUACCUUGAUAUGGAGGAAGGGGUAGCUUUCCAGAUGGACAACGGCAUGUACUGGGGCUCUGACGAAGACGUGUGCAUCAAAGGUGUACAUGAAAAGGUUGCACUGUGCAAAUUUCACAUCUCCCGCCUGCCCUCGGGAAAGGUUUGCAUUCGAAACUGGAAAGGCCUGUGUCUUGCUCCAAUGGAUCUAUCUUCAGAAAUAGACUAUCCUAUUCAACCUGUCUUGUUCUCCAACAAGCCAUAUGUGGAGUAUGAUGUCUUUUGGAAAGACAAUCAUGUAGCUUUCAAAGCCUAUAAUGGGCUUUUCUUGGUCAGAACAUGUAGAGUGUACCACACGCUGGCAGCAGCCAAGUUCCACCCAGAUGUCACCUGCUAUUUCCAACCCUUGGUUGGAGACCACCCACCCCCAGCUAUUGAAAUAAUGUCUGUGGUGCCAUGUGAUGUUUCAUCAGUGACCUGUAGCCCUUACAUUUUGGAGGAGCAGGUCUAUGUCAACCAUGAAAAGGUCCCAGUAACACACACCUUUGUCAUGUUUUGGGAACCUCACAGCACUGACCACAUUAUAUGGACUCGUAUGUGGGGUCUGGGUAUGCACACGUCAUGUACUUUCACCAUUCUGGAUACCAAAUGUCUUAUUUUGUACACGGAGGACAAUGAACAGAUGAUAACUUUUACGCGGUUUAUUUCUGAGUAUCUGGUGAAGGACGUGGUGGUGCCUCCCAGAACUGAAGCUAGAGCCCACUUCUGUGUCGAUAUGCAAAGUGAUGCGAUUUUGAGUUUCAUAGCCUUAGUCCGCAAGAAAAGAUCUGUUCAGGAUGUCACUUUCUUUGCUGUAGGUGGGUCCUGGAUGGGACUUAUCUAUAGUAACUUCAGAGUGGAGGUCAGAUUUACAGAUCUUUGAGUUUGGGAGACACGCAGAAACUAUGAAAACUAGUGGCCUUUCAAGGGAAGUUGCAUGCCAGUUUAUGCAUACCUGAAGUAAUAUGACUGUGAGUCUCCAUGGGCCAGAAAGCAUCUACACCAGUGGUUCUCAACCUGUGGGUUCCCAGAUGUUUUGGCUUUCAACUCCCAGAAAUCCUAACAAUUGGUAAACUGGCUGGGAUUUCUGAGAGUUGAGGCCAAAAUACCUGGGGACCCACAGGUUGAGAAACACUGAUCUACACCAAUGGUGUCCAACAUUUGAUCCUCCGGGUGUUUGAGACUCCAACUUCCACAAGCCCUGGCCAGCUUUCCCAAUGUUCAGGAAUUCUGGGUGGUGAAAUCCAAAACACUCAGAGGACCAAAGGUUGGAUACAAUCACACUAUCCCAGUCUGGAGCUUUGCUGCACACCAUUGCUUUCUGAAACAGUUGAAUUCUGUACAAGACAAGUCAUGAUUUCCUCUUGAGGCUUUUUGGGCACACCCUCACUGCUUCCCAAGUGCCUGAAGACAAAAAUAUGAUGGCUACCUUUUUGUGGCAAGAGGGAAAGCCCUUCUCACCUUUCAGCACAGUUGUCAAAAAUACAAUUGUCAAAAAAAAAGUGAAGAUAUUUUUGGAAAUAAAUCCUCAGUAGACUUCAUUAUCCCUCAAGAGUGUCAGGAACAGGCCAAGUUGCGGAAUAGGAAAGCUAAUGUGUAUUACUCUCAAGUGUGAAUUCUUAUCAAAUACUAACAGAAUUAAAAUUCUUGCCUCUAGCCGAAUUGAAAUGGCACAUUGUAUUUUUGGGGAGCAGAUUUAUUUAUUUAUUUGCGGCAUUUAUAUCCCGCCCUUCUCACCCCGAAGGGGACCCAGAGUGGCUUUACAGAACACAUAUACAGCAAACAUUCAAUGCCAAACUAUACAAUGAUCAAGGACAGACAACACAGAAGAGGUAAAGACAGU
This is a long non-coding RNA of Anolis carolinensis (green anole), 2304 nucleotides long. NCBI's taxonomy places the organism in Eukaryota, Metazoa, Chordata, Lepidosauria, Squamata, Anolidae. The record is from Ensembl.